Myxocyprinus asiaticus (Chinese sucker) is the source of this 4175-nucleotide long non-coding RNA. RefSeq lists it as uncharacterized. The record is from RefSeq and is a predicted model, not a curated record. NCBI's taxonomy places the organism in Eukaryota, Metazoa, Chordata, Actinopteri, Cypriniformes, Catostomidae. The transcript has 2 exons.
AACAUUAAAGGCACACUGUCAGCAAGUUUAGUUGGAAUAAUGUGAAUAUUAUAUGACUAGUCACACUGUGGGCAUGGGGAUCCGAGUAUAGGGAGAAAAUUAAAUCACACCAGACAGCAGUUAGAUUGGAAUGCACUUCUAGCAAAUAAUACUGCAAUACUAUAAGUCAAACCACUACUAGUGGUGGCAGGGCAUCUCCCCUAUGGCCCCAUGUGGCUUAAAUCACUGUUUCUUAGUCUUUUCCUAACAUUCACACAAAACAUAAUUAAUACUUAAUUCAACAUGGCAGUCCAAGUCAUUGUCCAAAUACACUUACAGUUGAAGUCAGAAGUUUAUAUACACCUUAGCCAAAUACAUUUAAACUCAGUUUUUCACAAUUCCUGACAUUUAAUCAUAGAAAACAUUCCCUGUCAGUUAGGAUCACAAUUUUAAGUGUGAAUGUGAAAUGUCAGAAUUAUUGUAGAGAAUGAUUUAUUUCAGCUUUUAUUAAUUUCAUAACAUUCCCAGUGGGUCAGAAGUUUACAUACACUUUAUUAGUAUUUGAUAGCAUUGCCUUUAAAUUGUUUGACUUGGGUCAAACGUUUUAUAACCCUUUGAGGUCAGGGCUUUGUGAUGACCACUCCAAUACCUUGACUUUGUUGUCCUUAAGCCAUUUUGCCACAACUUUGGAGGUAUGCUUGGGGUCAUUGUCCAUUUGGAAGACCCAUUUGCGACAGAGCUUUAACUUCAUGGCUGAUGUCUUGAGAUGUUGCUUCAACAUAUCCACAUAAUUUUCCUUCAUGAUGUCAUCUAUUUUGUGAAGUGCACCAGUCCCUCCUGCGGCAAAGCACCCCCACAACAUGAUGCUGCCACCCCCAUGCUUCAUGUUUGGGAUGGUGUUCUUUGACUUGCAAGCCUCACCAUUUUUCCUCCAAACAUAACGAUGGUCAUUAUGGCCAAACGGUUCAAUUUUUGUUUCAUUAGACCAGAGGACAUUUCUCCAAAAAGUAAGAUCUUUGUCCCUAUGUGCACUUGCAAACUGUAGUCUGGCUUUUUUAUGGCAGUUUUGGAGAAGUGGCUUCUUCCUUUCUGAGCAGCCUUUCAGGAUAUGAUGAUAUAGGACUCACUUCAAUGCGGAUAUAGAAGCUUGUCUACCCGUUUCCUCCAGCAUUUUCACAAAGUCCUUUGCUGUUGUUCUGGGAUUGAUUUGCACUUUUCACACCAAACUACAUUCAUCUCUAGGAGACGGAAUGCUUUUCCUUCCUGAGCGGUAUAAUGGCUGUGUUGUCUUAUGGUGUUAAUACUUGCAUACUAUUGUUUGUACAGAUGAACGUGGUACCUUCAGGCAUUUGAAAAUUGCUCCCAGUGAUGAACCAGAAUUGUGGAGGUCCAGAUUAGUUUUUUCUGAAGUCUUCGCUGAUUUCUUUUGAUUUUCCCAUGAUGUCAAGCAAAGAGGCACCGAGUUAGAAGCAUGACAAUGCUAGGUCAAUUAGGAAUGUAUGGAGUCUGAUGUGGAAGACCUUGACUGGCCUGCAAAAGGCCAAAACUGAACCCCAUUGAACAUCUUUGCGGUGAAUUGGAUGCCGACUGCGAGCCAGGAUCCAUUAAACAACAUCAGUAUCUGACCUCACUGAUGCUCAAGUGCCUGAAUGGAAGCAAAUCCAUGUGGCUUUAUUCAAACAUCAAGUGGAAAGCCUUUCUAAAAGUGUGGAAGAUGUUUUUGCAAAGAGUGGGAUCACUCUCUAUGGUUUUUGAAAUUAAGUACUCAACAAAUAUAUGAAUGUUGGUGUUCAGGUCAGGGCCUCCGCAUAGCCAGGGGGCCUCCAAAAGAAACAUGUGAACUUGGCAGUUAGCCAGGCUGUACAGAACGACAGUUUUGCUUCAAUUGCGAUUACAAAUAACAUGCGCAAAGUGUGCCUUGAAAAUCCAAAAAUGAUGCCAAUGACGCAAGAAAAAGAGCAGCAGAAACUGAGGCGAUCAAAUAAAUUACACAUUUUGAAGCAAAUUAUGUGAUAGUGAUUAUUUGAAUGAGCUACCAUUGCUGUAUUUCAUACCACAUUAACUAAUAAUAAUAAUAAUAAUAAUAAUAAUAGGCUGUUACAAAAAAUGUGACCUACAAAAAAUGUCAAUUUUUGCCCAGGGCAGUUAACCAAGUAACUCAACUUUAUGAAGUAAAACUGAUGUUUACAUUACUGCUCUAACAUAAUACACAUUUUUAGUUUUCAAAUCAGAAAUGUUUUGUGAGGGGAGGGCCUCCAACAUAAAUUUCGCCUAGGGCCUCUUUAAUGUCUACAACCGGCCCCGGUUCAGCCUUCCACAUAACUUUUUGGCCAUAUAGUAGUGUACCGUUAGCUGCUGCCUAUGUAGCAUGUUUUAUAUAUCUGUCAUUCAUGAGAUUCCUUUUUGGUAGGAAUGCUGGCUUAGACCAUUUCCACACUAAUCCGUUUAAGUUUUCAGUUUCCUAACAUCAUCGUUUUCCAAAGUAUGAGGUUAUUGAAAGAGUUUUCGAAAGUCUCUGUUUUCAGUGGAGGAAAACACAGCUCUAGUGUGGAUGAGAGGCUUAAACAUAGCAAAAUCAAUGCGGUUUCUAGGGCUGCCCCCUAAUAGUCAACCAAACGUUAGUUGAGGAGAAGAGUCUCGGUCAGUGACACUCUGGUAUCACCGCUGGUUGGGUGCUAGGUGGUACCAUGGGGUCAUUUUCAUUAAGCAGGGUUAGGGUUAAGCCUACACAGUAAAGCAAGACACCUUGAUUUCAAACUUUGAACUUUAUUUUUUAUUUAUUUUAACUAAAAUUAAAUGAAACUGGAAAAAAAUUAAGUCCAAUUAAAAUGUGUGUUGUUCAACUUACUGAAAGAUGGCUUUACAACAGUUGUGAAGGGCAACAUCUCUUUGGAAACUGACCUACUUCAUCUGUGCAUUCUCUACCAGUUGGGAAUUUCGUUGUCCAGGAAAAUACAUCAUGUGUGUGAAUAAAUUCGUUUUGUUCCCUCCUUCACGAUCGAUUGAUAGAUAGAUAGAUCGAUCGAUAUAGAUAUAUAGCAAUAUCCAAUUACAUCAGCAACCCCUGGGCUGAGGGAUCGGUGAAUAUUCUUGCUUUAGUGAUUUUGCAUUGAAAAUUAAAUUAUUUAAAAAACGAAAAACUUAAAAUCAAAUACAUUUCUAAAUUAAAAUUGCACUCCAAACGAAACGAAAAACAAUUAAAAUAACGAAGUGAUCAAAAAAAUAAUUAUUCAGAAGACAGAAACAAAGAAUGAGUGAGAACUUUACAUGCGUGUUCCACGAGACUGCACGCCUCCGAACAAACAGUGUGUCCUACAUAUGCAUAGACGGCUUUUCUGUCAUCUGUUCUUAAUAAUAUAAUAAAGUGCUUUUCUUCUAGCGCAUGUCUGUGUCUCUACGGGCAAAAUAUUUGUAAUAUUCAUUUGCUAAUAAUAAUAGCCUAAUAAUAAUAAUAAUUUAAUACAUGGAAAAACAAGCCAAAUAUCAUCUUGACAUCGUCAAAGGCAUCAGCUAUUGGCGAUCAUUCUGACCAUCACUGAUCCCAGAGAUCAUCUGCAUUUCUCUAUAAAUUAACAAAAUGUUCAGACAGCAGCUUUUGCUGGUGUCGCUGCGGCUCGCUUCAUGCGUACGCCUGUAAAAUUUAUAUUUUAAAGGCUCAUUAUUAAGAUUUAGUAUUUCUCUGUAAUGUAGAACAGUGUUAGCAAUGUUACUUAUAACAUUCUUUCUCAGCCCUGGGACUCAAACCGUUUUCUGAUGCCCCACAAAAUAUAUACAAGUAAUUAAAUUAAUACCAUAAACAUGCGACGACUAGUCGACUAAUGGCUUAAACUAAUGCCUACUAGUCGACUAGGAAAACCUUUGGUCGGGGGCAGCCCUAGCAGUUAAAAAAAAAAGCUCAGGGGCCGCAAAGCUAGAUCCCCAUGUAUGUUAAAAAAAAUAAUAAUAAUUAUUACUUCAUAGUAAUUUUUAUAGUAAGAAUUAUGAAUUUUAUAGUAAUUAUUUUAUACAUUAUACAAAUCCUAUAAAUUAGGGGUGUAACAGUUAGAUUUUCUCAUGGUUUGGAUUAAAUUUAAGGAGCCACAUUCUACCACAUUGAUAUGAUCAGUUCUGUUGUCACUGUCAACUAAUAAACGGCAUUAGUGUUCAACAUCACACUCACCCGAGAUGCAUAAAAAAACAAAAAAAAAACAAAAAGA